GGUCAUGAGCGCCAGCGACAAGCCCCGGCUUGCUGGCCGGCAACCCUCCAACCGCGGUGGGGUGCCCCGGGUGAUGACCAGGUUGAGUGGUUGACGGAUUCCUCCGUCGGCCGCAAGGCAAGCGCGGGUC
This 130-nucleotide non-coding RNA is filed under the name Mycolicibacterium smegmatis. Its description in RNAcentral is "Mycobacterium smegmatis SAM-IV sequence". It matches the Rfam family "SAM (S-adenosyl methionine) riboswitch aptamer". From Rfam's summary of the family: SAM-IV is a mRNA element that regulates gene expression via direct sensing of S-adenosylmethionine (SAM or AdoMet). SAM-IV riboswitches share conserved nucleotide positions with the previously described SAM-I riboswitches sequence analysis and molecular recognition experiments suggest that SAM-I and SAM-IV riboswitches share similar ligand binding sites, but have different scaffolds. RNAcentral also lists the same sequence under 1 other name. The record is from RNAcentral. Lineage: Bacteria; Bacillati; Actinomycetota; Actinomycetes; Mycobacteriales; Mycobacteriaceae.